This 468-nucleotide ribosomal RNA is filed under the name uncultured Thauera sp. Its description in RNAcentral is "bacterial SSU rRNA". It matches the Rfam family "Bacterial small subunit ribosomal RNA", at positions 916 to 1381 of the family's 1533-position model. The record is from RNAcentral. Lineage: Bacteria; Pseudomonadati; Pseudomonadota; Betaproteobacteria; Rhodocyclales; Zoogloeaceae.
AGACGGGACCCGCACAAGCGUGGAUGAUGUGGAUUAAUUCGAUGCAACGCGAAAACCUUUACCUACCCUUGACAUGUCUGGAACCUUGCUGAGAGGCGAGGGUGCCUUCGGGAGCCAGAACACAGGUGCUGCAUGGCUGUCGUCAGCUCGUGUCGUGAGAUGUUGGGUUAAGUCCCGCAACGAGCGCAACCCUUGUCACUAGUUGCCAUCAUUUAGUUGGGCACUCUAGUGAGACUGCCGGUGACAAACCGGAGGAAGGUGGGGAUGACGUCAAGUCCUCAUGGCCCUUAUGGGUAGGGCUUCACACGUCAUACAAUGGUCGGUACAGAGGGUUGCCAACCCGCGAGGGGGAGCUAAUCCCACAAAGCCGAUCGUAGUCCGGAUCGCAGUCUGCAACUCGACUGCGUGAAGUCGGAAUCGCUAGUAAUCGUGGAUCAGCAUGUCACGGUGAAUACGUUCCCGGGUCUU